GCCGAGCUCGUUAUAAGGAGAGAGUGAAGCAUGUGGGCCACGGUGGCGCCGUCUUUCCCGCCAGUGGAAGCAAAGAGGGGCAACUCUUGGUGAGUAGUGAUUAGUGAUUUUACGUAUGUUUCAAUUGAAGGGAGCUUCAAUAGGGA
Long non-coding RNA from Haliotis rubra (blacklip abalone), 146 nucleotides. RefSeq lists it as uncharacterized. The transcript has 3 exons. Lineage: Eukaryota; Metazoa; Mollusca; Gastropoda; Lepetellida; Haliotidae. The record is from RefSeq and is a predicted model, not a curated record.